Molecule: long non-coding RNA, 720 nt
Organism: Scomber japonicus (chub mackerel)
Lineage: Eukaryota; Metazoa; Chordata; Actinopteri; Scombriformes; Scombridae
Exons: 3
Source: RefSeq, a predicted model, not a curated record
AGUCAUCAUCACUGACAAAGGGUCCAAAGAGUCUCUGAACAGCAAGGACUCUGGUCUAUCUGCUGGAUCUGACAAUGGCUCAUCCAACAGCUCAUCUGGCAGCUCCAAUGGCUCCGAUAAGCCUCUCCUGAAAGGAACCAACUCACCAGGGAAAAAACUACUAGUGGAUUAGUACUGGAAAGGAGAUAUGAAGCAAAAAUAGGAGUUUCUAAAAUCAAAACAAUGCUGAAUUGACAGAUUAGAAAGGGGGAAAAAACAAGAAAAACAAGAACAAAGUUUUUAUAUUAAGCUCAGAAAUGUCUAUUGUCUAUUGAUAGUUUGAGUAGUUUGAUUAUCUGGAUGAUAAUAAUAUUCAGAUUUCAUAUAUUCUUUAUUUGGAGCUUUCGUCCUACUUUGCUUGCCUGAAAAGGAGAAUCUAUGGAGGAUCUAUGUCUCUCCUGCUUUCAUUGCCAGUAACUUGUUUUUAUUGUUUGCUAACCAAGCUAUCCACUCUGUCAGCUUGAGGUGAUCAUACGCUGUCCUUGAGCGCUGAAUGAUUGACGUCUCCCUGUCAUGCACGAGGCGAACAAGAAAUAAUGGGUUGAUUCUUAUAGCUGGAAGGGGGGUAGCCCGAGUGUAGUAAAAGUGUUGCUUAUCUUAGAUUCAGCGGACUUCUCUGUACAAUGCCUUGUGUGCUGUAUUACUGAACUCCCUCUUGCAACAAUAAUUAAACAAGCUGUG